This 76-nucleotide transfer RNA is filed under the name Candidatus Nitrososphaera evergladensis SR1. RNAcentral's name for it is "tRNA-OTHER". It matches the Rfam family "tRNA". Rfam says of the family: Transfer RNA (tRNA) molecules are approximately 80 nucleotides in length. Their secondary structure includes four short double-helical elements and three loops (D, anti-codon, and T loops). Lineage: Archaea; Thermoproteati; Nitrososphaerota; Nitrososphaeria; Nitrososphaerales; Nitrososphaeraceae. The record is from RNAcentral.
AGCCCGGUCGUCUAGUGGCCAAUCUCCAGAUAUUAGGAACCUGGAGACAGCAGUUCGAAUCUGCUCCGGGCUACCA